This 21-nucleotide unclassified non-coding RNA is filed under the name synthetic construct. The record is from RNAcentral.
AAGAAGUUGCUGCACGAUACA